This 497-nucleotide ribosomal RNA is filed under the name uncultured bacterium. Its description in RNAcentral is "partial 16S ribosomal RNA". It matches the Rfam family "Bacterial small subunit ribosomal RNA", at positions 28 to 507 of the family's 1533-position model. The record is from RNAcentral.
GAUGAACGCUGGCGGCGUGCCUAAUACAUGCAAGUCGAGCGAACGGACGAGAAGCUUGCUUCUCUGAUGUUAGCGGCGGACGGGUGAGUAACACGUGGAUAACCUACCUAUAAGACUGGGAUAACUUCGGGAAACCGGAGCUAAUACCGGAUGAUAUUUUGAACCGCAUGGUUCAAAAGUGAAAGACGGUCUUGCUGUCACUUAUAGAUGGAUCCGCGCUGCAUUAGCUAGUUGGUAAGGUAAUGGCUUACCAAGGCAACGAUGCAUAGCCGACCUGAGAGGGUGAUCGGCCACACUGGAACUGAGACACGGUCCAGACUCCUACGGGAGGCAGCAGUAGGGAAUCUUCCGCAAUGGGCGAAAGCCUGACGGAGCAACGCCGCGUGAGUGAUGAAGGUCUUCGGAUCGUAAAACUCUGUUAUUAGGGAUGAACAUAUGUGUAAGUAACUGUGCACAUCUUGACGGUACCUAAUCAGAAAGCCACGGCUAACUACGUG